ACGUACACUCCUACGGGAGGCAGCAGUGGGGAAUUUUGGACAAUGGGGGCAACCCUGAUCCAGCAAUGCCGCGUGAGUGAAGAAGGCCUUCGGGUUGUAAAGCUCUUUUGUCAGGGAAGAAACGGUAGUAGCGAAUAACUAUUACUAAUGACGGCACCUGAAGAAUAAGCACCGGCUAACUACGUGCCAGCAGCCGCGGUAAUACGUAGGGUGCAAGCGUUAAUCGGAAUUACUGGGCGUAAAGCGUGCGCAGGCGGUUGUGUAAGUCAGAUGUGAAAUCCCCGGGCUCAACCUGGGAAUUGCAUUUGAGACUGCACGGCUAGAGUGUGUCAGAGGGGGGUAGAAUUCCACGUGUAGCAGUGAAAUGCGUAGAUAUGUGGAGGAAUACCGAUGGCGAAGGCAGCCCCCUGGGAUAACACUGACGCUCAUGCACGAAAGCGUGGGGAGCAAACAGGAUUAGAAACCCGUGUAGUUCCAUGA
RNAcentral lists this ribosomal RNA (480 nucleotides) under uncultured organism. RNAcentral describes it as "partial 16S ribosomal RNA". It matches the Rfam family "Bacterial small subunit ribosomal RNA", at positions 329 to 800 of the family's 1533-position model. The record is from RNAcentral.